Molecule: transfer RNA, 67 nt
Filed under: Nematocarcinus gracilis
Lineage: Eukaryota; Metazoa; Arthropoda; Malacostraca; Decapoda; Nematocarcinidae
Description: tRNA-Cys
Rfam family: tRNA
About the family: Transfer RNA (tRNA) molecules are approximately 80 nucleotides in length. Their secondary structure includes four short double-helical elements and three loops (D, anti-codon, and T loops).
Source: RNAcentral
GGCUUUGUAGUGGAAAUUGAAGACGUCAGACUGCAAUUCUGAAGAUGUAAUAAAAUUACCUUAGCUU